CUUGUCUACUUCUUUAUUUUUUGAAGAUUAAAUUUUUUGGUUUCCUUUACCUAUAUGUUUUGUCGUCGACCCCUUGAAACAGUAGUCAUAGGUCCACACAAAGCAUUUUUGCCUUUAGGAACAUGUUUAAGAUGAUAAGGACUUUUGCUGAAGAUAGAUAGAUAGAAAGAUAAAUGAAAGUCUAGUGUAUUAAAUUGGUCAAUUCUUGAUUUAUAACUCUUUUGUUUUUAUAUGGGAAGAGCUGCCUAAUUCUGUUAUGAUCAUGCAUCUUUUCAUUCAUUUCCCUCUGGUUUGCUGCCAGAAGAGUACAAUAAAAGCUGGCGGUUCAUAUUGGAACUUCUCUGAUUAAAUGUUUCUUCAUUUUAUUUUUAAAUUUUAAUUCAAGAAGGCUGGUAUACUUUUCUUAGUGUUAAUGCAUAUUGCGGAGUUUUUAAGGGUAGUUGUCAUUUUCUGACUUCCUUGAGGCAAAAGAGAUCUUGCAUCACAUUAAAUUUCAUAUUCAGUAAAAAAAAAGGGAAGCCCUUUAGUCAACUCCAUAGCAGUCCUUUUUGUGCAUGAAAAUUAAGUUUUAUUACAAAUAAUUUUAUGAUAUUUGAAGUGUUCAGUCUUGAGGAAUCAUUUGUGAAUGAUGUUCAGCCACCUGCUAUAAAUGCAGUAUACCUUUGGGGAUGAUAAGUUAUCAAGAAGCCUAUGCUUGAUGGACUGCUCACCCAGCAGUAGUGACAAGAAAACAUUGAAGAGGUGGUUUUUCAUUGAUAAAAGAGUUGGGUA
Mercurialis annua (annual mercury) is the source of this 771-nucleotide long non-coding RNA. RefSeq lists it as uncharacterized. NCBI's taxonomy places the organism in Eukaryota, Viridiplantae, Streptophyta, Magnoliopsida, Malpighiales, Euphorbiaceae. The transcript is spliced from 3 exons. The record is from RefSeq and is a predicted model, not a curated record.